UACGUAGGGGGCGAGCGUUGUCCGGAUUUAUUGGGCGUAAAGAGCGUGUAGGCGGCCAGGCAGGUCUGCUGUGAAAACUCGAGGCUCAACCUCGAGACGUCGGCGGAAACCAUCUGGCUAGAGUCCGGAAGAGGAGAGUGGGAUUCCUGGUGUAGCGGUGAAAUGCGCAGAUAUCAGGAAGAACACCCGUGGCGAAGGCGGCUCUCUGGGACGGUACUGACGCUGAGACGCGAAAGCGUGGGGAGCGAACAGG
Molecule: ribosomal RNA, 253 nt
Filed under: uncultured bacterium
Lineage: Bacteria
Description: partial 16S ribosomal RNA
Rfam family: Bacterial small subunit ribosomal RNA
Source: RNAcentral